CAACUGUCGAUCCUCAACAUUCUAUUCACCCCCAAUAGUUCCCUUUCCUACUCCUCAUCAUUACAUCAGAUACUUCCUAGGUGACCCUGGGUUAAUUUUAAGGAAAUCACAUUUGAUAGAUGGAAGGGACAACAGAGAACAUUUAAUAGUCCAACUCCCUCAUUUUGUGGAAGAGUGAGAAGCAGAGAAAUAAAGUGACUAUGCUAGGGGAAGCAUUUUCCAAAGAGGAGAGACCAGGAUGGAAUGCCAUGAGGUGGGUGAAGGGGCUAGAAGAAGAGAAAAAUGGGAAAUCAAAAUUUUGGAAAACUGAAUGUUAAAAUAAAUAAAGUAUAAUGAAAA
This is a long non-coding RNA of Monodelphis domestica (gray short-tailed opossum), 339 nucleotides long. RefSeq lists it as uncharacterized. The record is from RefSeq and is a predicted model, not a curated record. Lineage: Eukaryota; Metazoa; Chordata; Mammalia; Didelphimorphia; Didelphidae.